UGCCGCGUGCAGGAUGAAGGCCUUCGGGUUGUAAACUGCUUUUGUACGGAACGAAACGGCGAGCUCUAAUAAAGUUCGCUAAUGACGGUACCGUAAGAAUAAGCACCGGCUAACUACGUGCCAGCAGCCGCGGUAAUACGUAGGGUGCAAGCGUUAAUCGGAAUUACUGGGCGUAAAGCGUGCGCAGGCGGUGAUGUAAGACAGAUGUGAAAUCCCCGGGCUCAACCUGGGACCUGCAUUUGUGACUGCAUCGCUAGAGUACGGUAGAGGGGGAUGGAAUUCCGCGUGUAGCAGUGAAAUGCGUAAAUAUGCGGAGGAACACCGAUGGCGAAGGCAAUCCCCUGGACCUGUACUGACGCUCAUGCACGAAAGCGUGGGGAGCAAACAGGAUUAGAUACCCUGGUAGUCCACGCCCUAAACGAUGUCAACUGGUUGUUGGGUCUUCACUGACUCAGUAACGAAGCUAA
This 467-nucleotide ribosomal RNA is filed under the name Comamonadaceae bacterium. RNAcentral describes it as "bacterial SSU rRNA". It matches the Rfam family "Bacterial small subunit ribosomal RNA", at positions 395 to 855 of the family's 1533-position model. Lineage: Bacteria; Pseudomonadati; Pseudomonadota; Betaproteobacteria; Burkholderiales; Comamonadaceae. The record is from RNAcentral.